UACAGAGGGGGCAAGCGUUGUUCGGAAUUACUGGGCGUAAAGGGCGCGUAGGUGGCCUUCUAAGUUGAACGUGAAAUCCCUGGGCUCAACCCAGGAACUGCGUCCAAGACUGGGAGGCUUGAAUCCGGGAGAGGGAUGCGGAAUUCCAGGUGUAGCGGUGAAAUGCGUAGAUAUCAGGAGGAACACCUGCGGUGUAGACGGCUUACUGGACCAUAACUGACGCUGAGGCACGAAAGCGUGGGUAGCAAACAGG
Molecule: ribosomal RNA, 253 nt
Filed under: uncultured bacterium
Lineage: Bacteria
Description: partial 16S ribosomal RNA
Rfam family: Bacterial small subunit ribosomal RNA
Source: RNAcentral